ACUUAAAUUGAAGAGUUUGAUCAUGGCUCAGAUUGAACGCUGGCGGCAGGCCUAACACAUGCAAGUCGAGCGGUAGCACAGAGAGCUUGCUCUCGGGUGACGAGCGGCGGACGGGUGAGUAAUGUCUGGGAAACUGCCUGAUGGAGGGGGAUAACUACUGGAAACGGUAGCUAAUACCGCAUAAUGUCGCAAGACCAAAGUGGGGGACCUUCGGGCCUCAUGCCAUCAGAUGUGCCCAGAUGGGAUUAGCUAGUAGGUGGGGUAACGGCUCACCUAGGCGACGAUCCCUAGCUGGUCUGAGAGGAUGACCAGCCACACUGGAACUGAGACACGGUCCAGACUCCUACGGGAGGCAGCAGUGGGGAAUAUUGCACAAUGGGCGCAAGCCUGAUGCAGCCAUGCCGCGUGUGUGAAGAAGGCCUUCGGGUUGUAAAGCACUUUCAGCGGGGAGGAAGGCGGUGAGGUUAAUAACCUCAUCGAUUGACGUUACCCGCAGAAGAAGCACCGGCUAACUCCGUGCCAGCAGCCGCGGUAAUACGGAGGGUGCAAGCGUUAAUCGGAAUUACUGGGCGUAAAGCGCACGCAGGCGGUCUGUCAAGUCGGAUGUGAAAUCCCCGGGCUYAACCUGGGAACUGCAUUCGAAACUGGCAGGCUAGAGUCUUGUAGAGGGGGGUAGAAUUCCAGGUGUAGCGGUGAAAUGCGUAGAGAUCUGGAGGAAUACCGGUGGCGAAGG
This 733-nucleotide ribosomal RNA is filed under the name Klebsiella pneumoniae. RNAcentral's name for it is "bacterial SSU rRNA". It matches the Rfam family "Bacterial small subunit ribosomal RNA", at positions 1 to 721 of the family's 1533-position model. The record is from RNAcentral. Lineage: Bacteria; Pseudomonadati; Pseudomonadota; Gammaproteobacteria; Enterobacterales; Enterobacteriaceae.